GGAGGAGGAUCGUCCCCGGUGGGGCGUCCGGACUUCAAAUCCGGGUGGGGCCGUUGGCCGGCUCUUGGUGGGUUCGACUCCCAUCCUCCUCCGCCA
This 96-nucleotide transfer RNA is filed under the name Hyphomicrobiaceae bacterium. RNAcentral's name for it is "tRNA-Sec". It matches the Rfam family "Selenocysteine transfer RNA". The record is from RNAcentral. Lineage: Bacteria; Pseudomonadati; Pseudomonadota; Alphaproteobacteria; Hyphomicrobiales; Hyphomicrobiaceae.